CGGGGCGUAGCGCAGCCUGGUAGCGCACUGUGUUCGGGACGCAGGGGUCGGAGGUUCAAAUCCUCUCGCCCCGA
Molecule: transfer RNA, 74 nt
Rfam family: tRNA
About the family: Transfer RNA (tRNA) molecules are approximately 80 nucleotides in length.